Small nuclear RNA from Rhinopithecus bieti (black snub-nosed monkey), 126 nucleotides. The record is from Ensembl. NCBI's taxonomy places the organism in Eukaryota, Metazoa, Chordata, Mammalia, Primates, Cercopithecidae.
GUGUUGUAUGAAAGGAGAGAAGGUUAGCACCUCCCUUGGCAAGGAUGGAAGAGGCCCUCAGGCCUGACAACAUGUAUACGGUUAAGGCAUUGCCACCUACUUCAUGGUGUCUAGCCAUCGUUAUUU